UACAGAGGGGGCAAGCGUUAUUCGGAAUUAUUGGGCGUAAAGAGCUCGUAGGCGGUUUGUCGCGUCUGCUGUGAAAGACCGGGGCUCAACUCCGGUUCUGCAGUGGGUACGGGCAGACUAGAGUGAUGUAGGGGAGACUGGAAUUCCUGGUGUAGCGGUGAAAUGCGCAGAUAUCAGGAGGAACACCGAUGGCGAAGGCAGGUCUCUGGGCAUUAACUGACGCUGAGGAGCGAAAGCAUGGGGAGCGAACAGG
This 253-nucleotide ribosomal RNA is filed under the name uncultured bacterium. Its description in RNAcentral is "partial 16S ribosomal RNA". It matches the Rfam family "Bacterial small subunit ribosomal RNA", at positions 524 to 776 of the family's 1533-position model. The record is from RNAcentral.